RNAcentral lists this ribosomal RNA (585 nucleotides) under Triticum aestivum (bread wheat). RNAcentral describes it as "partial small subunit ribosomal RNA". Lineage: Eukaryota; Viridiplantae; Streptophyta; Magnoliopsida; Poales; Poaceae. The record is from RNAcentral.
AUGUGGACCUGUCUUCGUCAGCGCUAUGAGCCCUCUGGUGAUGCCUUAUACCUUUCUGUGGUUCGUCAGGAGCAUGCUCUUCAGCAGGGUGACUCUACUGUUGAUGACUUUUAUGCACAGAGUUCUGCUAUCUGGCGCCAGCUUGAUUCUCUCCGCAGUGCUGGUUGUCGUACUUGCCCCUGCUGCCAGGCUGUCCAGGCCAACUUGGAGUUUCAUCGCGUCUACGAGUUCCUGUCUCGGCUCCGUAAGGAGUUUGAGCCCCGGCGUGCUCAGUUGUUUGCUCGUGGCCGUAUUUCUCUCAUGGAGGCGCUUUCAGAGAUUCGUGCUGAGGAGACUCGCUUACGUGGUGCUGGUUUGCUAGAGGUUCCCUCUGUGCUCGCUACUCGGGCUUCUUCCACUCCACCUGCUGCACCGCCACAUUCUCGCUCGAGUGCUCCGCCGCUCUUGCCCACUCCUUCUGGAGGCUCAGGUCGCCCCCGUUCACAUUGUGACUACUGCAACAAUGAUGGUCAUAUUGAGUCCCAGUGCUACACAAAGCGGAAACACCUGCGCAAGGCGCGAUCAUCCUCCUCAGGGACUUCGUCA